UUGAGCUGCAUGCCGGGAAACUGGCACGUGCAGUUCUAAGCUCAGAGGCUGCCUCAAAAAGAGGUGGGUGAUUUCAAC
This 78-nucleotide non-coding RNA is filed under the name Martinezella tropici. Lineage: Bacteria; Pseudomonadati; Pseudomonadota; Alphaproteobacteria; Hyphomicrobiales; Rhizobiaceae. The record is from RNAcentral. RNAcentral also lists the same sequence under 1 other name.